Molecule: ribosomal RNA, 1534 nt
Filed under: Campylobacter jejuni
Lineage: Bacteria; Pseudomonadati; Campylobacterota; Epsilonproteobacteria; Campylobacterales; Campylobacteraceae
Also listed under: 3 other names
Description: bacterial SSU rRNA
Rfam family: Bacterial small subunit ribosomal RNA
Source: RNAcentral
UAUUACAAUGAAGAGUUUGAUCCUGGCUCAGGAUGAACGCUAGCUACAGGCUUAACACAUGCAAGUCGAGGGGCAGCAUGGUCUUAGCUUGCUAAGGCCGAUGGCGACCGGCGCACGGGUGAGUAACACGUAUCCAACCUGCCGUCUACUCUUGGACAGCCUUCUGAAAGGAAGAUUAAUACAAGAUGGCAUCAUGAGUCCGCAUGUUCACAUGAUUAAAGGUAUUCCGGUAGACGAUGGGGAUGCGUUCCAUUAGAUAGUAGGCGGGGUAACGGCCCACCUAGUCUUCGAUGGAUAGGGGUUCUGAGAGGAAGGUCCCCCACAUUGGAACUGAGACACGGUCCAAACUCCUACGGGAGGCAGCAGUGAGGAAUAUUGGUCAAUGGGCGAGAGCCUGAACCAGCCAAGUAGCGUGAAGGAUGACUGCCCUAUGGGUUGUAAACUUCUUUUAUAAAGGAAUAAAGUCGGGUAUGGAUACCCGUUUGCAUGUACUUUAUGAAUAAGGAUCGGCUAACUCCGUGCCAGCAGCCGCGGUAAUACGGAGGAUCCGAGCGUUAUCCGGAUUUAUUGGGUUUAAAGGGAGCGUAGAUGGAUGUUUAAGUCAGUUGUGAAAGUUUGCGGCUCAACCGUAAAAUUGCAGUUGAUACUGGAUAUCUUGAGUGCAGUUGAGGCAGGCGGAAUUCGUGGUGUAGCGGUGAAAUGCUUAGAUAUCACGAAGAACUCCGAUUGCGAAGGCAGCCUGCUAAGCUGCAACUGACAUUGAGGCUCGAAAGUGUGGGUAUCAAACAGGAUUAGAUACCCUGGUAGUCCACACGGUAAACGAUGAAUACUCGCUGUUUGCGAUAUACUGCAAGCGGCCAAGCGAAAGCGUUAAGUAUUCCACCUGGGGAGUACGCCGGCAACGGUGAAACUCAAAGGAAUUGACGGGGGCCCGCACAAGCGGAGGAACAUGUGGUUUAAUUCGAUGAUACGCGAGGAACCUUACCCGGGCUUAAAUUGCAGAUGAAUUACGGUGAAAGCCGUAAGCCGCAAGGCAUCUGUGAAGGUGCUGCAUGGUUGUCGUCAGCUCGUGCCGUGAGGUGUCGGCUUAAGUGCCAUAACGAGCGCAACCCUUGUUGUCAGUUACUAACAGGUUCCGCUGAGGACUCUGACAAGACUGCCAUCGUAAGAUGUGAGGAAGGUGGGGAUGACGUCAAAUCAGCACGGCCCUUACGUCCGGGGCUACACACGUGUUACAAUGGGGGGUACAGAGGGCCGCUACCACGCGAGUGGAUGCCAAUCCCCAAAACCUCUCUCAGUUCGGACUGGAGUCUGCAACCCGACUCCACGAAGCUGGAUUCGCUAGUAAUCGCGCAUCAGCCACGGCGCGGUGAAUACGUUCCCGGGCCUUGUACACACCGCCCGUCAAGCCAUGGGAGCCGGGGGUACCUGAAGUGCGUAACCGCGAGGAGCGCCCUAGGGUAAAACUGGUGACUGGGGCUAAGUCGUAACAAGGUAGCCGUACCGGAAGGUGCGGCUGGAACACCUCCUUUCU